UUGGGAGCUCUCCCAUAUGGUCGACCUGCAGGCGGCCGCGAAUUCACUAGUGAUUAGAGUUUGAUCAUGGCUCAGAGCGAACGCUGGCGGCAGGCUUAACACAUGCAAGUCGAACGGGCACCUUCGGGUGUCAGUGGCAGACGGGUGAGUAACACGUGGGAACGUACCCUUUGGUUCGGAACAACUCUGGGAAACUGGAGCUAAUACCGGAUACGCCCUUGGCCUUUGGCCCUGGGGAAAGGUUUACUGCCGAAGGAUCGGCCCGCGUCUGAUUAGCUAGUUGGUGAGGUAACGGCUCACCAAGGCGACGAUCAGUAGCUGGUCUGAGAGGAUGAUCAGCCACACUGGGACUGAGACACGGCCCAGACUCCUACGGGAGGCAGCAGUGGGGAAUAUUGGACAAUGGGCGCAAGCCUGAUCCAGCCAUGCCGCGUGAGUGAUGAAGGCCUUAGGGUUGUAAAGCUCUUUUGUCCGGGACGAUAAUGACGGUACCGGAAGAAUAAGCCCCGGCUAACUUCGUGCCAGCAGCCGCGGUAAUACGAAUCGAAUUCCCGCGGCCGCCAUGGCGGCCGGGAGCAUGCGAC
RNAcentral lists this ribosomal RNA (584 nucleotides) under uncultured Alphaproteobacteria bacterium. Its description in RNAcentral is "bacterial SSU rRNA". It matches the Rfam family "Bacterial small subunit ribosomal RNA", at positions 1 to 579 of the family's 1533-position model. The record is from RNAcentral. Lineage: Bacteria; Pseudomonadati; Pseudomonadota; Alphaproteobacteria.